AUGGCAGCUUUGUUCUCCGUGCUGUGCGCCGACAGGUUCCAGAGCGCGCUCAGGACACUCUUCAGGGUGGAUUCCUGCCGGGGAGGAGGAGGCGUCAGCCCCGGCCGUGCCGCGGGUCCCGCUCCCACCCCUGCCUCUCCUCACCUUGGCCGCGUGCAGCGCGCACUGCGUCAGCCCCGCCACGCUGCCCACCUCCCGCAGCACCUUCUUGCUGUUGAUGUCGGCCCUCCAGGAGAGGUUCCUCAGGAUGCUCGAGACCACCUGGGAGGGCAGCAGAGCGGGGUGCAUGGGCACGGGCACCGUCCCCACCGUGGGCACCGUCCCCGUACCCCCCUAAGACAUCCCCACCGGUGGCACCCACCUGGUGCAGCUCCUCGCUGUCGGAGGCCAGCUGGGCCACGAUGGCCUCCAUGCAGCCCCGGCGGGCGCAGAGCGUUGCCUGCGGUGAGGAUGAGUGCGGUGAGCACGGUGCUGCCCCGGCCCCGCUCCCCACCCCGCUGCCCCCCCCCCGCAGACCUUGUUGACCACGUCCCCAAAGGUGAGGUUGGUGAGCGCCAUGCCCGCGUAGCGCCGCAGCGCCAGGUUCAGGGGGUCGCUCGUCAUCUUGUGCAUCUCGUAGUCCACCUGCAGCAGCUCGGCCACCGCCUGCAGCCCACCUGGGGGAUGGGACACGGGGUCAAAAAGCCACCCCGGACUCCCCCCAUCCCAGCAUUGCUGAUUUUACCCCCAUCCAGCCCCGCGCUCACCCAGCUCGUUCAUGGCCCGCCGGUACUCCUCGUCGAAGGAGAGCUUCAUGAUGGCACAGGUGGCCUGGCAGAUCUGGGGCUCGAUGGGCACCGGUGCUGCGGGGAGAGCAGGGGUGAGCUGGGGGGGGUCCAACACACGCCUCCAUCCCCUCCUCCCCCAGCACACACCGACACGUGUGGCUGCGUGCCCCGCACACGCCUGUUCACACUCGUACCCGUGCACCCCCCCCGCCCAGCCCUGCAGCAGCCCCGUACCUGCGCUGCCCUCUGGCCCCUUGCCCCCGUCCCUGCUCUGCAUCUGCAGCCAGUCCCAGCAGGUCUCCGAGUAGGAGCGGAUCUGCUCCAGCACGUGCAGCACCCGCAUCUCCUUCUUGGCCUGCCCCUCGUCGGGCUGCGAGAAGACGAUGUUGUGCAGGGCGGCGUUGGCGCGCAUGCGGGCGUCCUUGGCACCGGCGGGGCUCUCGGGGGGGCCCGGCUCGCGGUCGGUGUCGUGCAGGAUUUGGAUGAGCAGGGGCAGGCAGCCCGACUUGCGCAUGGCCAAGCAGCUCUCCUGCGAGCUGGACAUGGCCAGCAGCGUGCGCGACAUGUCGUCCUUGUCCCGCGUGGCCAGCAUGGACAGGAGCCAGAAGACCACCUCCACCUGUGUGUGCAUGAGUGGGGGGGUCAGGUCAGGCGCUGCCACGGCCCCCCCCGGCUCCCCCCCAGCACGGCCGCCCCUCACCUUGCUGCUGCCCCCGUCCUCGGGGUGCGUGGGGAUCUCCAUGGUGCUGUCCCCCUCCGUGCCCGGCAGCUUCCCGCAGAGCUGCAGAGGCCGGGAUGGUGA
Molecule: long non-coding RNA, 1569 nt
Filed under: Anas platyrhynchos (mallard)
Lineage: Eukaryota; Metazoa; Chordata; Aves; Anseriformes; Anatidae
Description: lncRNA (ENSAPLG00020009032.1)
Source: RNAcentral